Molecule: ribosomal RNA, 599 nt
Filed under: uncultured freshwater bacterium
Lineage: Bacteria
Description: bacterial SSU rRNA
Rfam family: Bacterial small subunit ribosomal RNA
Source: RNAcentral
AGAGUUUGAUCCUGGCUCAGGAUGAACGCUAGCGGCAGGCCUAACACAUGCAAGUCGAGGGGCAGCACGUCUUCGGAUGGUGGCGACCGGCGCACGGGUGCGUAACGCGUAUGCAACCUACCUUACACUGGGGUAUAGCCCGGAGAAAUUCGGAUUAAUCCCCCAUGGUACUUUUGAAUGGCAUCAUUUAGAAGUUAAAGUAUUACGGUGUAAGAUGGGCAUGCGUCCUAUUAGCUAGAUGGUAAGGUAACGGCUUACCAUGGCUACGAUAGGUAGGGGGCCUGAGAGGGUGGUCCCCCACACUGGUACUGAGACACGGACCAGACUCCUACGGGAGGCAGCAGUGAGGAAUAUUGGUCAAUGGGCGCAAGCCUGAACCAGCCAUGCCGCGUGCAGGAAGAAUGCCCUAUGGGUUGUAAACUGCUUUUAUUUAAGAAUAAACCUUUCUACGUGUAGAAAGCUGAAGGUACUGAAUGAAUAAGCACCGGCUAACUCCGUGCCAGCAGCCGCGGUAAUACGGAGGGUGCAAGCGUUAUCCGGAAUCAUUGGGUUUAAAGGGUCCGCAGGCGGAUGUAUAAGUCAGUGGUGAAAUCCUAUCG